RNAcentral lists this ribosomal RNA (516 nucleotides) under Ornebius flori. RNAcentral's name for it is "partial small subunit ribosomal RNA". It matches the Rfam family "Bacterial large subunit ribosomal RNA", at positions 1819 to 2600 of the family's 2925-position model. Lineage: Eukaryota; Metazoa; Arthropoda; Insecta; Orthoptera; Mogoplistidae. The record is from RNAcentral.
GUCUUUAUGAAUUAAGUAUAAAGUUGAACCUGCCCAAUGAUAAAUUUAAUGGCUGCGGUAUAUUGACCGUGCAAAGGUAGCAUAAUCAUUAGUUUUUUAAUUGAAAGCUGGAAUGAAUGGUUUGACGAGAAAUAAUCUGUCUGUUUUUAAUAAAUUGAAUUUUACUUUUUAGUUAAAAGGCUGAAAUAUUUAUAGGGGACGAGAAGACCCUAUAGAGUUUAUAUAAGUAUAUAAUUAUGUUUAUGAGUAUAUAUUGUUGUAUAAUAAUUUAUUUAUAUUUUAUUGGGGUGAUAAGUGAAAGGAUAGGAAUUUUAUUGUAAAGUUUACUGUAAUGGUAGUAAUAAAUUUAUGAUCUUGUAGUAUGAGUUGUAAGAGGAAAUUACCUUAGGGAUAACAGCGUAAUUUUGUUUGAGAGUUCAAAUCGAUAAUGAAGUUUGCGACCUCGAUGUUGGAUUAAGAUUAUUUUUAGGUGAAGAAGUUUAAAGAAUAGGUCUGUUCGACCUUUAGAAUCUUACA